Molecule: ribosomal RNA, 278 nt
Filed under: uncultured eukaryote
Lineage: Eukaryota
Description: partial 18S ribosomal RNA
Rfam family: Eukaryotic small subunit ribosomal RNA
Source: RNAcentral
UAGUCAUAUGCUUGUCUCAAAGAUUAAGCCAUGCAUGUCUAAGUAUAAACGCCUUUAUACUGUGAAACUGCGAAUGGCUCAUUAAAUCAGUUAUAGUUUAUUUGAUAGUACCUCUUUACUACAUGGAUAACCGUGGUAAUUCUAGAGCUAAUACAUGCGAAAAAUCCCGACUUUUGUGGAAGGGAUGUAUUUAUUAGAUAAAAAACCAACUUUCUUUCUCGCAAGAGGAAGAAAACCCCUUUGCUUGGUGAUUCAUAAUAACUUGUCGAAUCGUAUGG